UACUUUGUAGCUCAUUUGGUUAGAGCAGUAGACUCGUAAUCUAUUGGUAGUGGGUUCAAAUCCCACCAAAGCAU
Molecule: transfer RNA, 74 nt
Filed under: Gammaproteobacteria bacterium
Lineage: Bacteria; Pseudomonadati; Pseudomonadota; Gammaproteobacteria
Description: tRNA-Thr
Rfam family: tRNA
About the family: Transfer RNA (tRNA) molecules are approximately 80 nucleotides in length. Their secondary structure includes four short double-helical elements and three loops (D, anti-codon, and T loops).
Source: RNAcentral